UAUUGCUACUUUUCAUUAUCGAAUGGGCUUAAAUACAAAUUUAAAGCUCAAUAAAAAUUGAACAGGAUGACUCACUUUCAUAAAACACACUGUAAAGUGUUCAUCUAGGUGUCAGCUAUAAUGCACACCUUUUAUAUUUUUCAUAAUUAUUCAAAUAGACUGUAAAUCAUGUGUAAAAUAUUGCUACUUUUCAUUACCGAAUGGGCUUAAAUACAAAUUUAAAGCUCAAUAAAAAUUGAACAGGAUGACUCACUUUCAUAAAACAUACUGUAAAGUGUUCAACUAGGUGUCAACUAUAAUCCACACCAUUCAGAUUUUUCAUAAUUAUUCAAAUAAACUGUUAAUCAUAUGUAAAAUAUAGCUAUUUUUCAUUACCGAAUGGGCUCAAAUGUAAAAUAUGCCAUAAUUUAAAGCUCAAUAGAAUUUGAACCGAAUGACUCACAUUCAUAAAACAUACUGUAAGGUGUUCAUUUAGGUGUCAACUAUAAGCCACACCAUUCAGAUUUUUCAUAAUUAUUCAAAUAAACUGUUAAUCAUAUGUAAACAAUUGCUAUUUUUCAUUACCGAAUGGGCUCAAAUGUAAAAUAUGCCAUAAUUUGAACCUCAAUAGAAUUUGAACAGAAUGACUCACAUUCAUAAAACAUACUGUAAAGUGUUCAUCUAGGUGUCAGCUAUAAUGCACACCUUUUAUAUUUUUCAUAAUUAUUCAAAUACACUGUAAAUCAAAUUGUAAAAUAUUGCUACUUUUCAUUACCGAAUGGGCUUAAAUACAAAUUUAAAGCUCAAUAAAAAUUGAACAGGAUGACUCACUUUCAUAAAACAUACUGUAAAGUGUUCAUCUAGGUGUCAGCUAUAAUGCACACCUUUUAUAUUUUUCAUAAUUAUUCAAAUACACUGUAAAUCAUUUGUAAAAUAUUGUUAUUUUUCAUUACCGAAUGGGCUCAAAUGUAAAAUAUGCCAUAACUUGAAGCUCAAUAGAAUUUGAACAGAAUGACUCACAUUCAUAAAACAUACUGUAAGGUGUUCAUUUAGGUGUCAACUAUAAUCCACACCAUUCAGAUUUUUCAUAAUUAUUCAAAUAAACUGUUAAUCAUAUGUAAAAUAUUGCUAUUUUUCAUUACCGAAUGGGCUCAAAUGUAAAAUAUGCCAUAAUUUGAACCUCAAUAGAAUUUGAACAGAAUGACUCACUUUCAUAAAACAUGCUGUAAAGUGUUCAUCUAGGUGUCAGCUAUAAUGCACACCUUUUAUAUUUUUCAUAAUUAUUCAAAUAGACUGUAAAUCAUUUGUAAAAUAUUGUUAUUUUUCAUUACCGAAUGGGCUCAAAUGUAAAAUAUGCCAUAAUUUGAAGCUCAAUAGAAUUUGAACAGAAUGAUUCACUUUCAUAAAACAUACUGUAAAGUGUUCAUCUAGGUGUCAGCUAUAAUGCACACCUUUUAUAUUUUUCAUAAUUAUUCAAAUAGACUGUAAAUCAUGUGUAAAAUAUUGCUACUUUUCAUUACCGAAUGGGCUUAAAUACAAAUUUAAAGCUCAAUAAAAAUUGAACAGGAUGACUCACUUUCAUAAAACACACUGUAAAGUGUUCAUCUAGGUGUCAGCUAUAAUGCACACCUUUUAUAUUUUUCAUAAUUAUUCAAAUAAACUGUUAAUCAUAUGUAAAAUAUAGCUAUUUUUCAUUACCGAAUGGGCUCAAAUGUAAAAUAUGCCAUAAUUUAAAGCUCAAUAGAAUUUGAACCGAAUGACUCACAUUCAUAAAACAUACUGUAAGGUGUUCAUUUAGGUGUCAACUAUAAGCCACACCAUUCAGAUUUUUCAUAAUUAUUCAAAUAAACUGUUAAUCAUAUGUAAAAUAUUGCUAUUUUUCAUUACCAAAUGGGCUCAAAUGUAAAAUAUGCCAUAAUUUGAACCUCAAUAGAAUUUGAACAGAAUGACUCACAUUCAUAAAACAUACUGUAAAGUGUUCAUCUAGGUGUCAGCUAUAAUGCACACCUUUUAUAUUUUUCAUAAUUAUUCAAAUACACUGUAAAUCAUGUGUAAAAUAUUGCUACUUUUCAUUACCGAAUGGGCUUAAAUACAAAUUUAAAGCUCAAUAAAAAUUGAACAGGAUGACUCACUUUCAUAAAACAUACUGUAAAGUGUUCAUCUAGGUGUCAGCUAUAAUGCACACCUUUUAUAUUUUUCAUAAUUAUUCAAAUACACUGUAAAUCAUUUGUAAAAUAUUGUUAUUUUUCAUUACCGAAUGGGCUCAAAUGUAAAAUAUGCCAUAACUUGAAGCUCAAUAGAAUUUGAACAGAAUGACUCACAUUCAUAAAACAUACUGUAAAGUGUUCAACUAGGUGUCAACUAUAAUCCACACCAUUCAGAUUUUUCAUAAUUAUUCAAAUAAACUGUUAAUCAUAUGUAAAAUAUUGCUAUUUUUCAUUACCGAAUGGGCUCAAAUGUAAAAUAUGCCAUAAUUUGAACCUCAAUAGAAUUUGAACAGAAUGACUCACAUUCAUAAAACAUACUGUAAAGUGUUCAUCUAGGUGUCAGCUAUAAUGCACACCUUUUAUAUUUUUCAGAAUUAUUCAAAUAGACUGUAAAUUAUGUGUAAAAUAUUGCUAUUUUUCAUUACCGAAUGGGCUUAAAUACAAAUGUAAAGCUCAAUAAAAAUUUAACAGAAUGACUCACAUUCAUAAAACAUACUGUAAAGUUUUCAACUAGGUGUCAACUAUAAUCCACACCAUUCAGAUUUUUCAUAAUUAUUCAAAUAAACUGUUAAUCAUAUGUAAAAUAUUGCUAUUUUUCAUUACCGAAUGGGCUCAAAUGUAAAAUAUACCAUAAUUUGAACCUCAAUAGAA
Long non-coding RNA from Carassius gibelio (silver crucian carp), 2837 nucleotides. RefSeq lists it as uncharacterized. The transcript has 3 exons. NCBI's taxonomy places the organism in Eukaryota, Metazoa, Chordata, Actinopteri, Cypriniformes, Cyprinidae. The record is from RefSeq and is a predicted model, not a curated record.